AAAUUCUUAACCCUAAAUCCCUAAAUUGAAAAUUCAAAGACUCAGUCUCCUUCUUCGUCUUCUAUCUCUGUGCACCUCUCACCUUCAGUUGGCACAUCAGCUCCGGCCUCCCUCUCUAUUUUUGUCGAAGACUGAAUGGCUUCUUCACGUUGAGGAAUCUUCAUCUGCUGAACCAUUGUACCAGUUUGUUCUCCUUUUACAAUUUGUAGUACCACCUGCUUAAGGUUGAUUAAAGAAUAAUGUCUGGUCAAAUCGGUUCUAAUUCGGAGGAUGAUGUUGAUUUUGUGCCAUCAACUAAUGUUGAAGAAAUACAAUCUGUUAGUAAUACAUUAGAUGAACAUCAGAAUACAGGGAGAAAAAGAACUUCUCGUGCAUGGGAUCAUUUUACUCGACAAGAAAUUGAUGGUAAAAUUAAAGCGGUU
This is a long non-coding RNA of Cannabis sativa, 422 nucleotides long. RefSeq lists it as uncharacterized. NCBI's taxonomy places the organism in Eukaryota, Viridiplantae, Streptophyta, Magnoliopsida, Rosales, Cannabaceae. The record is from RefSeq and is a predicted model, not a curated record. The transcript is spliced from 3 exons.